Molecule: ribosomal RNA, 634 nt
Filed under: uncultured bacterium
Lineage: Bacteria
Description: bacterial SSU rRNA
Rfam family: Bacterial small subunit ribosomal RNA
Source: RNAcentral
AGAGUUUGAUCCUGGCUCAGAACGAACGCUGGCGGCAUGCCUAACACAUGCAAGUCGAACGGAUUGUAGCAAUACAAUCAGUGGCGAACGGGUGAAUAACGCGUGGGAACCUGCCUUGGAGUUCGGAAUAACCGCGGGAAACUGCGGCUAAUACCGGAUACGACCUGAGGGUGAAAGCAGAAAUGCGCUCCAAGAGGGGCCCGCGUCCGAUUAGCUAGUUGGUGGGGUAAUGGCCUACCAAGGCGAUGAUCGGUAGCUGGUCUGAGAGGAUGAUCAGCCACACUGGAACUGAGACACGGUCCAGACUCCUACGGGAGGCAGCAGUGGGGAAUAUUGGACAAUGGGGGAAACCCUGAUCCAGCAAUGCCGCGUGGGUGAUGAAGGCCUUCGGGUUGUAAAGCCCUUUCGGCGGGGACGAUGAUGACGGUACCCGCAGAAGAAGCCCCGGCUAACUUCGUGCCAGCAGCCGCGGUAAUACGAAGGGGGCUAGCGUUGUUCGGAAUUACUGGGCGUAAAGGGCGCGUAGGCGGCCCCGCGCGUCGAGCGUGAAAGGCCUGGGCUCAACCCAGGAACGGCGCUCGAUACGGCAGGGCUAGAGUGCAGGAGAGGAUGGUGGAAUUCCCAGUGUAGAGGU